Molecule: ribosomal RNA, 440 nt
Filed under: uncultured bacterium
Lineage: Bacteria
Description: partial 16S ribosomal RNA
Rfam family: Bacterial small subunit ribosomal RNA
Source: RNAcentral
CCUACGGGAGGCAGCAGUGGGGAAUAUUGCACAAUGGGGGAAACCCUGAUGCAGCGACGCCGCGUGAGUGAAGAAGUAUCUCGGUAUGUAAAGCUCUAUCAGCAGGGAAGAAAAUGACGGUACCUGUCUAAGAAGCCCAGGCUAACUACGUGCCAGCAGCCGCGGUAAUACGCAGGGGGCAAGCGUUAUCCGGAUUUACUGGGUGUAAAGGGGGCGUAGACGGCGCUGCAAGUCCGGAGUGAAAGCGCAUGGCUUAACCAUGGUACUGCUCUGGAAACUGUGGAGCUUGAGUGCGGGAGGGGCAGGCGGAAUGCCUGGUGUAGCGGUGAAAUGCAUAGAGAUCACGCAGAACUCCGAUUGCGAAGGCAGCAUACCGGCGCUCAACUGACGCUGAUGCACGAAAGUGUGGGUAGCGAACAGGAUUAGAUACCCGGGUAGUC